Long non-coding RNA from Pogoniulus pusillus (Red-fronted tinkerbird), 368 nucleotides. RefSeq lists it as uncharacterized. The transcript has 3 exons. NCBI's taxonomy places the organism in Eukaryota, Metazoa, Chordata, Aves, Piciformes, Lybiidae. The record is from RefSeq and is a predicted model, not a curated record.
UGGCAUGCUAAUAAAGCCUGUGGAGUGCUUUCACCUGCAAGGAAGCAGCAGAUGAAGUAGCAGAAGGACUGACAUUUUGACAAGUUCCGUGCUUUGAUACGGGCUUGAGUGCAGUGGAUGAGACACCUGAUUUCUGCUGUCUUACAGGAAUGGAGGCCCAGAAGAGCCAAACACCAGCAGAAGAUGGGUAAUUGAGCACAAGAUGAAACAAAGGAAUAGCUUUAUGUGUGCAAACCAAAAAUUCACUGGCUGGCCCAAGCGUGGGAGUGACAAAGGCACAGCCAGGAGUCUUGAGUUAUCCAACGUCGCUGCUCAUUGAUGCUCACUGCUGCUCGUUUCUCUUACGGAUGGCCACUCCCUCAGCAGCU